AUUAUUAUUAUUGGUAUUAAUAUAGCACCAGAAUAUUUCACAGCUCUGUAUACAUUUGUUAAGGACCUUCAGUAACAAAUGAGACAAACUAUUUUAAAGAACCAUAGGUUGAUGAGGACCCUGCUCAUACAAACUUAUAUUUUAAUGGAGUCCUCAUGCAUUUGGAAAAGUGUCCCUAGAAAAUAUGUCAAACAGUCUGGAUACAACAGCAAUCUCCAAAAAAAACAGACACUCAACCACCUUAGAAACAAGCUGUCAUUUAUUCCAUAUGUUCUAAAAAAAAAAUAGUCAGGUUGUUACUUUAUUAUUGACAGACAUGGGAUGUUGGGGAAAUUUUAGUCUGCGGAAAAGAGAUAGAUUACUUUUUAAAAAUGCAUGGAUGCCCUCCACACGUUGCCUUGCAUUAUUUAUGAAAAAAUUGUGAUUUAUUUUUCUGUUUAUAUUCUCUUGAAAAUGUGGAUGCCUUCCUUACUGUUUUCUAAGCUCAGCAACAAAAAGCCUGCAUGUGUAAUGAUAUUUUCUUAUAAAAUAGAAUUUAUCUGCUAGAAAAAAAAAAAAACAGUUCCAUGUCCAAUGUAAUACCCGUGUUAGUGAAGCUGCCCCAAGUAUGUCCUGACGUACAUGAGUCAUGUGUUCUGCUCACUGCAUUUACAAAUAACCCCAUUCAGCUGAUUCAGAAUCAUUGUUUAAGGUCACCCCUUUACCUCCUCUAUUACUACCCUUCUCUACGCUUUUUUUUUUUUUUUGUCCCUCCAUCCCAUCUCCCUCUCCCACUGUUAUUUCACAUGUUUUUGGCUGUAACGGUUUUUACAAGGGAUUACUGCCUCCUGAUAGGUCAUCACUACAUGACAUUUUUGCUGUGACAUGUAGCCAGACUAUAGAUUCUUUAAAUGUGUUCUGUGUUUUUAUGGAAUCAUUUGACUCUCAUGACUGUUUGUCUGUUUCUUACUGUCAAACACCAUUGUCAAGUUGUUGAAGUUCCACAUCUGCCCCCAAUAAAAAAUAUCUGAAUACAAAACAAUUUCGGAGGCCUUUAAUGUCUUCCUAAUACCAUUAAUAUCUCUCCAUUGAGUGGGAUUUUGAUUCUGACAUACAGUUUUUCAG
Molecule: non-coding RNA, 1104 nt
Organism: Pelobates cultripes (western spadefoot toad)
Lineage: Eukaryota; Metazoa; Chordata; Amphibia; Anura; Pelobatidae
Source: the annotation of a GenBank genome assembly